GCAGGAGGUGCCCGGUGAGGGGCGGCGAGAUGGAGAGAAGAGAGGGAAGAGAGAGGAGGGAUAGGGAGAGAAGAGAGAGAGAGAGGAGGAUAGAGAGAAGAGAGAGGGUUCUGGUAGGUGGGCCCCACCGCCACAUGUCAUCCACGUCAGCGGAACCCAUCAGACCCGUCGGAUAGCCAAAUAUGAACGGUUUUAAGUGUUGGAUGACCAAAGAUUUCUUAUUUUGCUAUUUGAUGGCCAAAAUCAAACCGAGAUGACAGUUUAAUGGCUAAAAA
This 275-nucleotide long non-coding RNA is filed under the name Panicum hallii. RNAcentral's name for it is "long non-coding RNA (PHAL_LNC000126)". The record is from RNAcentral. Lineage: Eukaryota; Viridiplantae; Streptophyta; Magnoliopsida; Poales; Poaceae.